ACUCGGGUCAUAUGACUUGAAGUUUCAACAGAGUUGUUGUGGAGCGGUUGCGACAAAACGUUUUUGUGCUUUGGUGAAAACUCCGUUUCAUAUUCUUGACAGUGACUCUGCACACGCACUGGAAGAGGACAAGGGAAUAUGACGUCGUACGACGAUGACGAGGGUUUCUCGACACAGCAGUACCCGGAGCUCGUAGCCGGAUCCUUCCCGAACGACUUCGGGUACGGGAGAGAGGAGACGGACCACGACUCGCAGCGAGGCCCGCCCGACGACACCAAGCCUAGAAUCUUGCUCAUGGGACUGCGACGGUAAGCCAGGGUAUCAGCCGUCUCGCCGUCCUUGUCGGCAGAUUCAUUUUCCCACUAGACGCGGUCACUUUCACUGCGAGCAUAUAUGAGUCGAAAUAUCCUAAUGCGUAAUUUAGCACC
This is a long non-coding RNA of Priapulus caudatus, 428 nucleotides long. RefSeq lists it as uncharacterized. The transcript is spliced from 3 exons. The record is from RefSeq and is a predicted model, not a curated record. Lineage: Eukaryota; Metazoa; Priapulida; Priapulimorpha; Priapulimorphida; Priapulidae.